GUGCGGUGCCUUCCGAGUCCCCUGGAAUGGGGCGCCAUAGAGGGUGAGAGCCCCGUAUGGUCGGCCGCCUAGCCUGUGUGAAGCUCCUUCGACGAGUCGAGUAGUUUGGGAAUGCUGCUCAAAAUGGGAGGUAAAUUCCUUCUAAAGCUAAAUACUGGCCAGAGACCGAUAGCGCACAAGUAGAGUGAUCGAAAGAUGAAAAGCACUUUGAAAAGAGGGUUAAACAGCACGUGAAAUUGUUGAAAGGGAAGCGCUUGUGACCAGACUUGCGCCGGGCUGAUCAUCCGGUGUUCUCACCGGUGCACUCUAACCGGCUCAGGCCAGCAUCGGUUUUAGCGGGGGGAUAAAGGCCCCGGGAACGUAGCUCCCCCGGGAGUGUUAUAGCCCGGGACGUAAUGCCCCCGCCGGGACCGAGGACCGCGCUUCGGCAAGGAU
RNAcentral lists this ribosomal RNA (435 nucleotides) under uncultured Chaetomidium. RNAcentral describes it as "LSU rRNA". It matches the Rfam family "Eukaryotic large subunit ribosomal RNA", at positions 168 to 624 of the family's 3401-position model. The record is from RNAcentral. Lineage: Eukaryota; Fungi; Ascomycota; Sordariomycetes; Sordariales; Chaetomiaceae.